UACGAAUGGAGCUAGCGUUGUUCGGAAUCACUGGGCGUAAAGCGCACGUAGGCGGAUGUGUCAGUCAGGGGUGAAAUCCCGGAGCUCAACUUCGGAACUGCCUUUGAUACAGCACGUCUUGAGUCCGAGAGAGGUGGGUGGAAUUCCUAGUGUAGAGGUGAAAUUCGUAGAUAUUCGCAAGAACACCAGUGGCGAAGGCGGCUCACUGGCCCGGUACUGACGCUGAGGUGCGAAAGCGUGGGGAGCAAACAGG
Molecule: ribosomal RNA, 253 nt
Filed under: uncultured bacterium
Lineage: Bacteria
Description: partial 16S ribosomal RNA
Rfam family: Bacterial small subunit ribosomal RNA
Source: RNAcentral